This 499-nucleotide ribosomal RNA is filed under the name uncultured bacterium. Its description in RNAcentral is "partial 16S ribosomal RNA". It matches the Rfam family "Bacterial small subunit ribosomal RNA", at positions 28 to 507 of the family's 1533-position model. The record is from RNAcentral.
GACGAACGCUGGCGGCGUGCUUAACACAUGCAAGUCGAACGGGCCCGCCCCUGUUUUUGGGGGUGGGUUGAGUGGCGAACGGGUGAGUAUCACGUGAGUAACCUGCCCCCUGCUCCUGGAUAACUGCUUGAAAGGGCGGCUAAUACGGGGUGUGCCGGCUGGUCCGCAUGGGCCUGGUCGGGAUAGUUUCAUCUUCGGGUGUUUCGGUGGGGGAUGGGCUCGCGGCCUAUCAGCUUGUUGGUGGGGUGAUGGCCCACCAAGGCGGUGACGGGUAGCCGGCCUGAGAGGGUGGGCGGCCACACUGGGACUGAGACACGGCCCAGACUCCUGCGGGAGGCAGCAGUGGGGGGUAUUGCACAAUGGGCGGAAGCCUGAUGCAGCGACGUCGCGUGAGGGAUGGAGGCCGUCGGGUUGUGAACCUCUUUCUCCGGUGGUGAAGGCCCUGUCCGUUGCGGCGGGGUUGACGGUAGCCGGGUAUGAAGCGCCGGCUAACUACGUG